GAUGAACGCUGGCGGCGUGCCUAAUACAUGCAAGUCGAGCGAACGGACGAGAAGCUUGCUUCUCUGAUGUUAGCGGCGGACGGGCGAGUAACACGUGGAUAACCUACCUAUAAGACUGGGAUAACUUCGGGAAACCGGAGCUAAUACCGGAUAAUAUUUUGAACCGCAUGGUUCAAAAGUGAAAGACGGUCUUGCUGUCACUUAUAGAUGGAUCCGCGCUGCAUUAGCUAGUUGGUAAGGUAACGGCUUACCAAGGCAACGAUGCAUAGCCGACCUGAGAGGGGGAUGGGCCACACUGGAACUGAGACACGGUCCAGACUCCUACGGGAGGCAGCAGUAGGGAAUCUUCCGCAAUGGGCGAAAGCCUGACGGAGCAACGCCGCGUGGGUGAUGAAGGUCUUCGGAUCGUAAAACUCUGUUAUUAGGGAAGAACAUAUGUGUAAGUAACUGUGCACAUCUGGACGGUACCUAAUCAGAAAGCCACGGCUAACUACUU
Molecule: ribosomal RNA, 496 nt
Filed under: uncultured bacterium
Lineage: Bacteria
Description: partial 16S ribosomal RNA
Rfam family: Bacterial small subunit ribosomal RNA
Source: RNAcentral